Delphinapterus leucas (beluga whale) is the source of this 2105-nucleotide non-coding RNA. The record is from RefSeq and is a predicted model, not a curated record. NCBI's taxonomy places the organism in Eukaryota, Metazoa, Chordata, Mammalia, Artiodactyla, Monodontidae.
UCCCGAGCCUCGCAACCGCGCGCCGAAUGCAGUGUACUUUUGCAAAAGUUGUUUCAUUAUUAAAUGGGCUCCUGGUAGGAAAAUCGGAACUGUAGACACAGAUCUCCCACGGCCACUCCCCGCAGAGACGGGCGCUGCUGCGUGGGGCCCCGGUUCGACCUCUGUCGCCUACAAGGGGGUCUGUGUAUCGCUUGCACCCUCUGAGAGCCCAGGCGCCGUCCGCUGCCCCCCUCUGGAGCCCCUUUCAGUUCACUGUGCAGGGCAGCGGGAGAAUCAACCACCGCUCCGGGAUGACGUAGAAGCAGACGCCUGGGAAACUACCCGGCCAACAUCACGCCUGCCCGACGCCCACUCAGCACUGGCCGCGAGGGGCCCACAGUCUGCCGGCGAGGAUGUUCUCCUUCUCUGGCUGGGAGUCUCCAGCCUCUUCAGGAAAGAAGCCGGAGAGCCGCUGUCACUCAGUGGGCACGAAGAGACCUCAGCCAGCUUCCUGAGGCCUGAUGACAGCCAAGCUGCAACUCUUCCGGCAGCACCAUGAUGCUCCAUGCCAGGCACCUGGCCUCAUCUCAUCCUCCCUGCAGCACUAAGAGGCCAGUCACAAGCUCUCUGCUCCCACCAGAUUCAAGAGGAGGGAAUUAGACUCCAGCUUGAUGGGGGAGUGGCAAGUUUUAGAGGAGCAUAUGGAGGAGGAAACGCAUUGUGGUCACUUUAGGAUAAUAUAAUCUACCACCCAUCAUCUCACCCAAUUCUUACGACAACCCGGUGAGGUACUGUGAACACCGAUAAUUUCUGAAACACAAAUCGUGAUCUGGAUACUUGCAACAACCUUUUAUAAUCUCUGCCUGAAUAAGAAGUGAAUAAGAGACAUACUUAUAAAAUCAAGAAACAGAACAUUCAGGCUCCCCAAAUGUCUCGUGUCCUCAUCCAGGAGCUACCGAUCCCCCCACUAUCCUGACUUCUAAUAGCAGGGUCUAGGUCCCUCCAGUGGGUUUGGAGAGAGAAGCUUACGGAUUGUGGAAGGCCGCCUCCAAGAUGGCUGCCUCCUGAGACCCUGCUCUUGUGAACCCUGUCCUGCUCUGGACUCACUGAUUCUCUUCUAACAAUAGAAUAUUGCAGACAAGAUGGGAUGUGACUUCUGAGAUCAAAUUAUAAAAGACGGCAGCUUCUGUCUUGCUGUCUUGAGUCUCUCUUCUCUCUCUCUUCCCAAUCUUGAAUCACAAGCUUCCAUGCUGUGGGGACCCUCAGGUGGAGAGGCCCUGCCAUCGGCUGAAUGCUAUUCCUUCAAAAUUUAUGUGUUGACGUCCUAACCCUCAAGACCUCAGAACAUGACUGUAUUUGGAGAUGGAGUCUUUAAAGAGGUAAUUAGGUUAAAAUGAAGCUUUUAGGGUGGGCCCUGAUCCAAUAUGACUGAUCCAGUAUCCUUAUAAGAAGAGAUUAGGAUACAGACCUAAAAACACAGAGGGAGGACUGUGUGAGGGCACAGGGAGAAGAUGGCCGACUACAAGUCAAGGAGAGAGGCCUGAGGAGAAACAACCCUGCGGGCACCUCAAUCCCAGACUUCCUGCUUCCAGAACCGUUGUAUAAGCUGCCAGUCUGUGGUACUUGUUAUAGCAGCCCGUACUGACUAAUACAGGCCCACAACUGCACCGCAAGCCUGCAGGCACAUCUUCUGAAGCCUGCUGACAGCCGCACAAGUCGGCUUGGAAACGGAUUUCCCAGCCUGGGUCAAGCCUUGAGAUCUAACUGUAGGCCUGGCUGACAGCUUUACUGCUGCCUCACCAGGGACCCUGACCCAGAAGCGUCCAGUUGAAGCACAUCUAGAUUCUUGAGCCACAUGGUAUCCUCUCUCUACUGUGAGACAAUAACCCUUGGCUGUUUCAUGCGGUUAAGCUUUGGGGUAAUGUGUUACACAGCAACAGAGAACUACUAUGCCUCCUUAUCCUUCUUGGCUAGAGUGACCAUAUAUUUUAUUGAUGACACCAAGUCAAGGCUUUUGAGGGGGAAAGGAGAUUCUAAAAUAAUUAAAGGGACUUCCCUGGUGGCACAAUGGUUAAGAAUCUGCCUGCCAAUGCAGGGGACACGGGUUCAAUCCCUGGUCGGGGAAG